AACAUGAAUAUCACUAUCUUCCCCCUUCCUUGUUCUUUUAUUUGUUUCUUUGUUUCUCUCUCUCUCUUUCUUUCUCUCUCUCUUUCUCUUUCUUUCUUUUUCUUUUUUCUCUCUUUCUCUCUUCCUUCCUUCCUUCCUUCCUUCCUUCCUUCCUUCCUUCCUUCCUUCCUUCCUCCCUCCCUUAGCUUCCAUCUUGGAAUUAAUUGGUUCCAUGGCAGAAGAGAUGGAAGGGCUAGGCAAUGGGGGUUAAGUG
This 253-nucleotide long non-coding RNA is filed under the name Monodelphis domestica (gray short-tailed opossum). Its description in RNAcentral is "lncRNA (ENSMODG00000041810.1)". Lineage: Eukaryota; Metazoa; Chordata; Mammalia; Didelphimorphia; Didelphidae. The record is from RNAcentral.